RNAcentral lists this ribosomal RNA (634 nucleotides) under Streptomyces ambofaciens. RNAcentral describes it as "bacterial SSU rRNA". It matches the Rfam family "Bacterial small subunit ribosomal RNA", at positions 242 to 886 of the family's 1533-position model. The record is from RNAcentral. Lineage: Bacteria; Bacillati; Actinomycetota; Actinomycetes; Kitasatosporales; Streptomycetaceae.
CAGCUUGUUGGUGAGGUAGUGGCUCACCAAGGCGACGACGGGUAGCCGGCCUGAGAGGGCGACCGGCCACACUGGGACUGAGACACGGCCCAGACUCCUACGGGAGGCAGCAGUGGGGAAUAUUGCACAAUGGGCGAAAGCCUGAUGCAGCGACGCCGCGUGAGGGAUGACGGCCUUCGGGUUGUAAACCUCUUUCAGCAGGGAAGAAGCGAAAGUGACGGUACCUGCAGAAGAAGCGCCGGCUAACUACGUGCCAGCAGCCGCGGUAAUACGUAGGGCGCAAGCGUUGUCCGGAAUUAUUGGGCGUAAAGAGCUCGUAGGCGGCUUGUCACGUCGGUUGUGAAAGCCCGGGGCUUAACCCCGGGUCUGCAGUCGAUACGGGCAGGCUAGAGUUCGGUAGGGGAGAUCGGAAUUCCUGGUGUAGCGGUGAAAUGCGCAGAUAUCAGGAGGAACACCGGUGGCGAAGGCGGAUCUCUGGGCCGAUACUGACGCUGAGGAGCGAAAGCGUGGGGAGCGAACAGGAUUAGAUACCCUGGUAGUCCACGCCGUAAACGGUGGGCACUAGGUGUGGGCAACAUUCCACGUUGUCCGUGCCGCAGCUAACGCAUUAAGUGCCCCGCCUGGGGAGUACGGA